This is an RNA transcript of Olea europaea var. sylvestris, 2105 nucleotides long. It is a transcript of the gene named 70 kDa peptidyl-prolyl isomerase-like, with no coding region annotated. The record is from RefSeq and is a predicted model, not a curated record. The transcript is spliced from 12 exons. Lineage: Eukaryota; Viridiplantae; Streptophyta; Magnoliopsida; Lamiales; Oleaceae.
UUGUUUUCUUAUAUACCAGAAGAGGACCCACACCUCUCUAAGUUUGUUAUACAAAUGAGAAAAAUCUGAACUGAACAAAACCAAAGGAGGGAAACUAACGACUUAUCUUCAACUGAAAUACGCACACUAUAUUCUCACACUCUCCUCAAUAAUCUUAUCCUUCAGCAAAUAAGCGUUCAUUCACAGAGACAUUUGAAAGAAAUGGCAGAAUCUCCCAAUACAGCAAUCUGCUUAGUCACUGAUGCCCAAGUUUCAGCUUUACCUGAGAAAAGUAUUGGGACCAAAGGUUUGCUUAAAACUAUUCUUCAAAAGGGAAAUUCAUGGCAAACUCCAAUUCCUGGCGAUGAAGUUGAAGUUCAUUACAGUGUUAGGCUUCAAGAUGGAGAAUAUUUUGAUUCAAGUCGCAAUAAGGGAACUCCUUUUGUUUUCAAAUUAGGCCAAUGUGAAGUUAUCAAAGGAUGUGACGAGGGAAUAUCCACUAUGAGAAAGGGUGAAAGAGCAGUUUUCACAAUACCACCAGAUUUAGCUUAUGGGGAAGCUGGUUCUCCACCUAUGGUUCCUCCAAAUUCCACACUCAUUUUCGAUGUAGAGUUGAUUUCGUGGAACCCCAUCAGAGAUAUCACAGGUGAUGGAGGAAUAUUGAAGAAAAUAACACGGGAAGGGGAUGGAUGGGCUACUCCUAACGAUGCAGAUGAAGUUCUAGUCAAGUAUGAAGCAAGGUGUGAGAAGGGAACAGUAAUCUCUAAAUCUGAUGGACUGGAAUUUUCGUUGAAUAAUGGAUAUCUGUGUUCUGCCAUGAGCAAAGCUGUCAAAACCAUGAGAAAGGGUGAAAAAGCAGAGCUUUCUGUCAAAUUCUCUUAUGGGCUUAGGCAUUCCGAAGAUGGGAUUUCUACGAUUGAUGGGGUUCCACCUUAUUCUAAUUUGAUCAUUAAUCUUGAAUUGAUAUCAUGGAGAAGUGUUAUAGAUGUCAUGGGAGAUGAGAAAAUCCUAAAGAAAGUAAUGAAAUUGGGUAAAGGAUUUGACCGGCCAAGUGAAGGAUCCCUUGCAAAAGUGAUCUAUGUUGGCAAACUCGAAGAUGGCACUGUUAUUUCAAGAAAAGGAUCCGAAGAAGAACCUUUUGAAUACACAUGUUCAGAAGGAAAAAUCGAGGAGGGUUUAGAUAAAGCAGUAAUGACUAUGAAAAAGGGAGAAGAGGCUAUAGUUAAAAUCAGCUCUGAUUUCUAUUAUGGCUGUGAAGUUGGAAGAAAUUCUUCAGAUUCAGUACUUUAUGAAAUCAAAUUAGUGGAUUUCACCAAGGACAAACCAUUUUGGAAAAUGGAGAUCCAAGAAAGAAUGGAGGCUUGUGAGAGAAAGAAGCAUGAGGGAAAUAUACUGUUCAAAGCUGAGAAAUUUCAGCUUGCCUCUAAGAAGUAUGACAAGGCUUCAGAAUACAUAGAAUAUAACCACUCUUUCAGUGCUGAAGAAAAACUCCAGGCAAAUUCUUUGAGAAUAUCAUGUUAUUUGAACAAUGCAGCCUGUAAACUGAAACUGGAAGAAUAUCUCGAGGUCUCUAGACUGUGCACCAAGUUAGGUCCUAGAACUGGAUUCAUUCAAUGUUAAAGCUCUCUUCAGAAGAUCUCAAGCCUAUAUGAGUACAUCUGAUUUAGAGAAAGCUGAGGAUGAUUUGAAGCGUGCUUUAGCCGUUGAUCCAAAAAACAAAGAUUUGAAACUCAAACACAAGGAUCUGAAAGAGAAACAGAGACAAUAUUUUCAAGAAGAAGCUAAGAUUUUCAGUACAAUGAUUUCAAGGACAAGGUAGGUGUUCUUUCCAGAUAGACAAAAGCUGGCUAUCAACAACUCAAUCAGUGUGCAAUACAGCAAACAGGCAUUCAACAUACAAGAAACUUGUGCAUCAGAACCUGGAACACCACCACUUGAAAUAUAUCAGUGUGUUCAAGUGAUCAUAAUAGUAAAUAGCAAUUUUAGUUGCAACGUUCCAUACCGUAGAUACCAAAACUCGGUCCAGUUAAUCCAUAUUCUAAUGAUUUAGAAGUUCAAAUUGUAUGAAAUCCUAGACAGUUGAAAAAUAUGACAGUGCAGAAUAAUCAUAUCUAUUUUCUGCUGAA